GGGUCUCGCUGUUGUUGGGGACCAUGGUGUUAGCGUUCUGGAGGAUGAUGUCCACUGUGGAGUUAAACUUCAGCCGAUACACGGCGUCGCUGUAGGUGGCGUUGGGGUUCGCCGCCGGCUUGAAGAUGUCGUAGUUGGCGCGGUCGUAGGUCUCUGGCGGCGCCGACUGGCUGAAGGUGUGGUGCAGCUUGUGCUUGAGGGCGAUCAGGUAAGGGGUGUGGGGGAGGGUGAAGGACAUGUUGUUGAGAGCCCACCGGGUGUGGCCGUCGAUCCUGUUCUGAGUGUUCAGGAGGGUGAUCAGACGGUCGGUGGUGGCUGGUGGCGGGAUGACGUACCCCCGGCGAGCCCUGAUCUUUAGGCUCUGGUUGAGACGGUACUCAGUGUCAUUCCAGAGUGGCCCGGUAGGCGGCGCCGUCGGGGGACGGCGGCGGGGGUGAUUGGGGUAGUAGUUGAAGAUGGAAAGGCCGGUUGGAGUAUCGGGCUUCCUGCUGACGACGUUCAAGGCCGCCCAGUAGUUGCGGGAAGGGUCCUGGUCGGCGACCACCAGGACGGAAUAGGUCUCGCCGGAGUAGAUGUUGAGGUUCUUCACGACGAAGGGCUCGACGUAGUGGCCGUCAGUUUCUACGACGGUCAUGUUGUGACCCUGCAAAAUAAUACCCAAGGUCAGCGCUAAUUUUCCUGCGACCUAAGUGGCUGUCUUCCUCGUCUUCUGGGACGGUUUGUCUCUCUCCUCACCUCUAUCUCAAAGUUGAAGGCCGAGAGUGAAGCGAGGCUGGAGAUCCUCAGGCGGUAAGUCUUCCCUGGCACCACCGUGAGCACAAAGGGAGAGCACUGCGGGUUGGUAGAGUUGCAGACGUCAUUGCCGGCGCCUGAGCAGUUGAACCGUCCCCUCCCAUUGAUCAGAAGCGACUGCAAGACAAUUUCUAGGAGUUGAACUGGCCAUCCGUCUCAAAAAACUGAUGAACAAUGGAAAUUUUUAGAGAGAUCAGGCACCUGAGGCUCCUUGACCCAGACGAAGGGGAUUGAGGAGAGGCCAGCGGCCUUCUCGUGGGUGGUCUUGUGCCACCAGUCGUUGAGGACGAUGUUCCGGUCGUAAUCGUAUGCGAAGGGCUCCGAGACGCCAUCGGGGAGGGAGACGUGGAUGGAUCCGUAGAGGCCGGCAGACUUCUGCAUCCCGUAGUGCGCGUGGUAGAUGUAGGUCCCAGGCUGCCGCCAUUUUCAACGAAGGAAUCACAGUGAGACGAGAGGUUGAAGAUGACUGAUCACUGCUGGUAUGGAUUUGGGCACAUAUUUGCAGCUUAUGAGCAUUUAAUAGUCUUGGAUAUUAGCAGGGGUGGUCGUCUCCAUAGGGGUUUUGGUCUCUGUGUGGAGAAGGGUUUAAUCACUGAUGAGCUCACUGAUUAACAGUGCUAGCUGAAAGAAUUACAAUGAGUUAAAAACUUGAUUCUUGAUAGUCAAUGGUUAAUUUUUCGUAGUUUAGAGAGUGUUCUGGACAAUGCUGAAGGGUUUGCUUUUGAAAAAUCUAUGGCUUUUUGUCUGGUGUGUUUUGGAUACAAUGCUGAAGGGGUUGUUUUUGAUUCUUGAUGGUCACUGGAUUAGAAACUUGCUGAUUCUUACUGGUCGACGACCUACUUGCAAUUGGAGUAUCGUGAAACCUGAGGCUGAGCACCAUCGAUCACCAUGGAAACUAAAGAGCAUAUUUUACCAAGUUUUAAGCCUUUUGUAACCAGUGAGCUCAUUGAUCAACAGCGUUUGCUGAAAGCAUCACAAUGAGUUCCAUUGUUGAUUCUUGAUGGUCAACCAUCAACUGUUAGAGUGAUUGUGAGGACGAUCAGUUCGCAUAGUAGCAAUGAGGUAUCUAGUUUUAAAAGCGAUAUACAUUCUGACUAUAUUGAAUAUUAUGGUCAACUCAUGGAGGAAAUCACGAAGAAGUUAAUGUUUGAGGAUGAUCCAUCCAUCACCGUGGUUAUCGAAAGGGUCCAUUCUUACAAAUUCAAUAUACCGCUAAAUAUUUUUUAAAUUAUGAAAAUUCAUGGCCCACAUGGGUAUAUGAUCAACUGAUCGCCGCUCAUGUUCUGCAGUUUUAUCUUGAAAGAGGUGAUGGUCACGUGGAAACACUACCAUUGAAAUUUUCAAGACGAGGAAAGAGAUAAAUUGGGAUUCGGACUGAGGAAAAUCGGGGCCAAUGCCGACGGGCCCAGUGGCUAGUGGAGGUGGGCGGGGCCUUGCGGGAACGACAAGGCCACCGCCGAGUCCGGGCCCCGCGGCCGAGGAGUUAGUUGAUUAAAGUGCUCAAGCAAUAUUUCGGUGGAGAGCGGAGAAGAAGUCAACGAUGAAAGUACGACCGUGAACAGGAGAUUGGCGGCGAGAAGCGUGAGGGAGGGGCAGCCUCUUACCCUAUCGACGACGAACUUGUAGACGAAGGUCUCGCCAGGGAGGAUGGGGCACUGCGUUACGCCCUCCGUGCCGUCGCUCCACGGUGUCCCGAUCUGGAAGAGUUGACGGCGAGGUUGCCGGAGAAGGAGACUGUCAGAAGACUGCAAGCUCGCCGGAGAUGGGGGAGAAAGGGGGAGGGAGGAUCUCGCUGUUUAACCUGGCGGAUGCCGUGCCAGUGGAUGGCUGUGUUCUCUGUGAGGAGGCCGUUCUUGACUUCGACGAUGACCGUGUCUCCCUGCUGAGCCUUGAUGGUCGGGCCGGGAGUCCUCCCAUUGAUGGCGAUCACCAGUUUCUCCACGCAGUCGGGGGACUGCAGCUCGUAGGUUACCUCCCACUGGUAGCGCCGCACCUUCGCCGAUGCCAGCGGAAUGGACAUGCAGAGGAGGAAACCCAUUAUAAAUGGUGCAAGCCAGCCGCUCAGAACAGGCGCUCUGCACCGCGUCAUCUUUCUCGCUUCCCUAUUCUCUCUCUCUCUCUCUCUCUCUCUCUCUAUCUCUAUCUAUCUUCCUGCAGUGGGGGAGGGUGGGAAGAGGUGAUGGUGGCCGAACGUUUUUCCCAUCAACAAAACAUAUAUACCCCAUCUUCCCGCUUCCGUGACGUGAACGUUCUUUAGAGUCCAAUGACUUGGUCAACCCUCCCACGUGACUUGAAGACUAAGGCAGACCGUUCUGAAUGGUUCCGAGGCUGUUUAUGUUGACCACGCCAGCAGAGACCAUGGAAUAAUUCUUAGACCAUAAAAAAUAACAGAAUCUUCAUUAUCUUUUUGUUUCAAAGACGCUUAAUUAUACCAAAGGUCAGCCUAAAUUACGUUGUAUAAUCAAAAGAUGAUUUUCUUGAAAUUCAGUAUAAGAAAUAUGAUGGAAGUUUUUCAAAAAAUUGAUGUUACUGACCGAUGUUAGGAUCACCUGCUUUAAAUUCUGGGCUGUGGGCAUUCUCUCAUGAAUUAGUUGUGCGAUUUAUCAUGAUAUGCUAUGCGUUUUAUAAUAUUAAGAGCAAGAUAUUUAAAUAUCAUGAUUCUAGAAAUUGGUAGAUUAUUUAUAUAACUAAUACGUUCAUGGAAAAAAAUAUAAAAUGGUUUUAAGGCCACCCAUUGUGUCGAGUUUACAACAGUCAUCGGCAAUAGAAAGAGGACCAAGGCGGAUUCGUCAAUAACUAUGAGUGGUAAGUUUUCAACCAAAUAGCAAGGUUAGAUUUCAUAAAUGGUCUCAAUUCUUAGUACCUGCAAAAUUUAUGGUACAGAAAACCAAAAGUUUACAAAAUAACAAUAUAUCAUAAAGGGUUUAAACGCUUGAAAAACUCAUGCGCAGUGUUUAAUUCUCAAAGGACAUGGAUAUAGAUCGAAGUUCAGUCACAUUGAAAGAGAACAAAUGACACUCUCUACAAUAUAUCCUCAUGCAGAAGAGGCCAUAAAUAUUGGGAUCAAGUCACCCGUUCUUUGCUCCGUAGAAGACUAUAUUACCUGCCACGGAAGGAGAAGAGAGGGGAGGAGAGAGAGAGAGAGGACGCGUAAGCGUUGACACGACCAGUCAAGAUACGAAGGGUCCUGGGGCCACGCGCAACAUUAACGCGCCCGCCAGACGAGACCCUGAAGAGACGUUCUCCAGCUAACCGCCUGCCUGAAGACACGGAGCCCGCCAGAGGUCCAGACAAGGGGAAAAUGGCAUGAUUGGAGCCGGGCAUCUGAUGUACCUCCCCUGUAUCAAACACGAUUUCUCCAAGAACAAAGAAAUCCAAUGAAAGAUUGAAAGAUGAAAAAGGCUUACAGAUGUUUUCCCUCGUCUGACAGAGCAGAUCUAUUAUGAUAUUGACAUGAGAGGGACAAGUUCCUCAGAUUGAAAGAAACCCCACGGAAGCACAGAUAGGUCCCACCCACAGGCCCGGCCCAUCAGCCGGGGCCCUUCACUUCGUGCGGGGGCCUAGGAAGACGCACCCCCCCGACUGGUCGAAGUCUGCCUGAGCGUCUUCUCCCUUCAAAGCCUUCUUCUUUCCACUUCUUUUCCUGUGCGGUGGACCUCGCAAAGCUAAUGAUACGGAACGAAGUGAAGAUAAACACGAUCUAUUAAAUUUCCACAUAACAGCGAAUUCAAGGAGAUUUAUCAUGGCCUCCUAUUAACCCUUGAGAGAUAAGGUGGAUAUCGCAGUUUGAGAAAACUGAUAAGUUAGGAUAUUUGAAGAACGAGAUGAGGAAAUUUCAGGUUCAAGUGUUCAGGAUAAUCAAACAAUAAUAAGGACAGCAACUAUCUGACAGAGAAGGGUAAAGAAAGAGAUUACUGGUGGAGGACUUACGCUCCUUCCGUCGAUGAUGAUUAUGAAUUUGAAGUGUAGGAUCUUGCUCCGCAGAACAAUCACUGAGAUAGAGUGGGUGAUGAGGAAGAGGAGUAAUGAACAGAAUUUUGACCCUCACAGUCAGCUCUUUUCAAAGCACAGGUAGGCCUCGCGGCUUCUCCAAAUGGAUUGAGAAAAGAAUUCAACUUCUACCAUUCAAACCGUAUUACAAGCAUAUUUUAUAGGUCUAGAAAUCAGGAAGAUAGACAGAUAACUAACUAAUAGCAACUAACUAAUAAUAAACAAAGUCGUGGUGAUGAUGCAUGGGUCAUGUGUGAUGUGGCCGUAACCCACUCCUUUCCUCCAGUUGUUCGAUACGUGGGGGAGAGUGUGGGUUCUCUUUCAUUCCGUCAUGCUGGUGAGGUGUUGAGUUUGGUUCUUCCUUGGCCCCCGAGGUCUUCUGAUUGAUGUCCUCGUCAGCUAAUAGUUUGUCAGCAUCAUCCAUCGGUCGUGUCUUCGCCGUAUCCAUCCCACAUCUGACAAAUACCUAUAUUGAGGAUUUCUCCUGCUUCUUUUCUUCCGAUCACAUUUCUUCAGGUUAUAAAUAGACCCUAAACCGUCUCUAAGGAUAUGCAUGUUAGUAAGUUUGCACUUGAUCAUCUUUCAUCUUGGUGCCCCCGUUGGGUUGGUUGCAAAGACCCCACACUCCUAGUUGGAGCUAGUCAUGAGGGCCACUUGGCACACACUCCCACUCUCUCGUUAUUGUAUGUCUUUCAACCCCCCCUUCUCUCACCAUCCUCCACUGAAGAUGCCACUUGCUCUCAAAUCCAAGUGCUUCAUACACUUAGAGAUACGUUGACCUCGGAAUGUGAUCACAAGGUUUAUCGAUGACGAUGACCUUCUUUCUAGCAAGUAUUCCGUGCACUCCAUCCAUUGAAUAUACAUUCCCGUUACAAUGGCUGGAGAACCAUAGGGUAGCUGUCUGACUAUUUUCUAUCAUUGCUAAGAAAAUUCAACAAAUUUAAAAUUUAUAAAUUAUGGAAAAUAAGACAAUUCUUAAUAAAGAAAUAUUUUUAGUUGAUUUUUUUGGUCGAUCAUAGGGGAGAUGAAGUAUUAUUAAUUAUUUAUCAUUUUUAUUUGGUAUAUUACUUUUUAAAUUAUUUUAUGGCCAAAUUAUAACGAAAUAAGUUUAAAUUGAGAAUUUGGAGAUUAUUGACAUUAGUUGAUGUUAGCUUGCAAAGAACAACCCCAAAUUUGUGGUCGACAGAAAUACGUCGACACGUAAAUGAAUCAAACCAAAGCCACAAUGAUGGAAAUAAUGGGCUUUUAUUUGAAACAUGAUGAAGGAUCGAAAGAUGUAUUAUUGGAAUCUAAAAAUAGUAAAAAUGAACAGAAAUUAAAGUUUACGGAAGAACUGAGCAGCAUAGUCGUUGAUCAGAUUUCUGCCCAAAUAUGAUCGAUUUGUGUAGGUAAAGUGUACUGAUUGGUUUUCUACACCUUCUCCAAUCGAUGGUUGACAAUCUCAACAAUUGUCACUUGCUAAAAUCGAACAAUGAAGAUGAUUCGACUCCAAGUGUGUUGUGGCGUUUGGAGAAGGAUCUUUGGAAGAAAUUCUUCACCGUUUGUAUCCGGCGAAGCAUGGGGAAGAUUUUUGAAAUAAAUUCAGCUUUUGUAGCAGCUGAAUGAGAGAGAAAUUUAGACAAAAUCCAUCUUUUGUAUCGGAUGGAUGGAUUGGGCAAAAUCUGGCGUUUGUAGUGGUGGGACCAGAGAGGUUUUGAUUUGAGAGGGGUGUAGAAUAAUUGAGGAUGCCUUCUUCCUCCCUAGAAAUACCUUUUCAAUCUUUCUUUGUGCAUAUUUCACUGAUUUGUUACAAUUAAUUGUCGUAUUUGUUGCCACGAUUCGUGCGUCCGCCGUUAACACAAAAACCCUGAAAAGAUUUGAUUUUUCGUUAGUUUUAAAUGAUUAUAAACUAUAAAAAAGACAUGAAAUUAAUUAUAACAUAAUUUCAAAUUUAUUUUUGUCAAUUUACUUGAUGAAUUUCUCUCUAGAGAAUCAAUUGAUCAUCCAACGUGAUUUUUGCUGAUUUUUUAGGAUUUUCACUGAUUUUCUGAAUUUAAUGAUUUUUCUCAAAUUUCCUUAAUAUUUCUAUAAAAUCAAAAUAAACGUAGAAAUAUUUUCAAAAAUAAUAUAAAACAUAAAAACAUGUGAGAAAUAUUUUCAUCAUAUUACAUGACUGANNNNNNNNNNNNNNNNNNNNNNNNNNNNNNNNNNNNNNNNNNNNNNNNNNNNNNNNNNNNNNNNNNNNNNNNNNNNNNNNNNNNNNNNNNNNNNNNNNNNNNNNNNNNNNNNNNNNNNNNNNNNNNNNNNNNNNNNNNNNNNNNNNNNNNNNNNNNNNNNNNNNNNNNNNNNNNNNNNNNNNNNNNNNNNNNNNNNNNNNNNNNNNNNNNNNNNNNNNNNNNNNNNNNNNNNNNNNNNNNNNNNNNNNNNNNNNNNNNNNNNNNNNNNNNNNNNNNNNNNNNNNNNNNNNNNNNNNNNNNNNNNNNNNNNNNNNNNNNNNNNNNNNNNNNNNNNNNNNNNNNNNNNNNNNNNNNNNNNNNNNNNNNNNNNNNNNNNNNNNNNNNNNNNNNNNNNNNNNNNNNNNNNNNNNNNNNNNNNNNNNNNNNNNNNNNNNNNNNNNNNNNNNNNNNNNNNNNNNNNNNNNNNNNNNNNNNNNNNNNNNNNNNNNNNNNNNNNNNNNNNNNNNNNNNNNNNNNNNNNNNNNNNNNNNNNNNNNNNNNNNNNNNNNNNNNNNNNNNNNNNNNNNNNNNNNNNNNNNNNNNNNNNNNNNNNNNNNNNNNNNNNNNNNNNNNNNGAGAGAGAGAGAGAGAGGAUAGCUUGAUGUGGAUAAUAUUGAAGUCAAACCUCAUUAAGUUGAAUUUUCUAAUUAAAUUGAGUAUAAUAUAGUUAUAAAUAGUUCGUGAUAUCAAAUGUAAAAUUAUAAUAUGGUUAUGGAGUGUAUUAUAUAAAGGUUUACCCUAGGAUUUCAAUAAAACAAAAUAACACAAUUCAUACAAUGACACUCCAUCCACAAGAGAGAGGUUUUGAUUGUGAGGAUUGAAUAGAGAAAAAGAGGAUAAAGAUCAAUAGUCAUUUAUUAUUUUUCAUUUUAAUAAUGAAUCCAAAUAAGCCUAAAUUCCAUCAAGUGGUAUCAGAGCAAGUUUUUUCCAUUUCUAUUCUGAUUAUUAUGUGAGAAUUUCGUCACAUAUGAGGUGCAUGGGGACCACAGUUGCAUGGGAACCACACCAUCUAUUAGUUGUAAUGACAAUGGAAGUGGCAAUACUAGUGAAUGUGCUAUGUCCACACAGAGUUUAACCAUAGCAUUGUCCCUCCAGGGUGAUGACCCAAUACACUAUGGCUGGGAAGAGCACAAUGGUGGCUGCAUAGUGUGAGUGUGUAGACGGCUGUUGAGGCAUAGUGGUUUUAUACUAUGUAAUUUGUGCACACAAACGACCACUAUAGUUGUUGGUUGCCAAGCUCUACGGCCAUGCAAUAGCUAUAGCACAUUGUCGAGGUGUCCGCGGCCACUCAUUUGUUGGAUUGAUGAUUAUGAUCAAUCAAUUGAUCAAUCACAUUCAGGGAAAAAGGUCAUGAUUAUGGUGACGAUUUGGGCCAUCGAUUGCUUGUUAAUCACUAGGCAUAUUAAAGAUCUAUAGUUGACCUAUAUGUUUGAUGAUUACUUUCCAUCAUCCAAUAGUUAGGAUUCAACAUCGAUGAGAGAGAUUAAAUCUCUCUCUCUCUCUCUCUCUCUCUCUCUCCUCCUAGUCCCACUCCUACUAGCUCUUACCUCUCUCCUCUUGUCAAGGAUUGACUUUACUAUCAUCAACUUUGUUGACAGAGGAGAGAGAAACUCUAAAAAUGAAUUAAAGAAAUGAGAAAGACAUACAUAAAUGUCUUAUAGGAGAAUAGAGAGAGAGGAGAGAGAAUGAAUAAUGGGCCCUUAAUGGGCCGAGUGAGCUAUCAAACACUCCCUCUUAAGUUGGAGUAGAGGUCGAACAUAUCCAGCUUAGUAUAUGUAGAGUCAUAGAAGAUGCAAACCAAACUCUUUGUGAAGACGUCUACAAGUUGAUGAGAUGAUGCCAUAUGAAGAGUAGAAAUAAGUCAUGACAAAAACCUACCUCAAAUGUAAUGACAAUUAAUUUCAAUAUGCUUUGUCUGUUCAUGAAAAGUGGAUGAUUGACAAUGAAGAUGGUGGCUUGAUUGUCAUAGUAUAUGAGCAUCGGAGAAUGAGAAGUUAUGCCAAGAUCUUCGAGUAGUGAGUGGGGCCAUAUCAUCUCCCAUGUUGUCUCAGGCAUAGCUCGAUACUCAGACUUUGUACUGAAGUAAGACACCACCCAUUGUCUCUAAGUCUGCCAGGUGAUCAUAUUACCUCUAACAUUUGUGUAAUAACUUGUAGUAGAUUUCUAGUUGCCCUUGUCACUUGCAUACCCAGCAUUAAAAUAGGGGGCGAUGUGAAGAUGGCCAUGUCUUUCGUAAAGAAACCCUUUCUCUAGUGCUCUCUUGAUAUAGGUAAGGACUUGAAGUGUGCCUUUCUAAUGAACAUGUCGAGGCUCCUAUAUGAACUACCUUAUAACACUAACCGUGUACAUGAUGUCUAGGUGACGAAUGAUGAGGUAUAUCAGCUUGCCCAACAAUCGUCAAUACUAAUUAGAGUCCUCGAGGAAAGGACAUGAAGUGUCCUAGAACUGUAGAUGGGCUUUCAUAGGUGAGAUUUUCAGCUUACACUCGAGUAGGGCAGUCUCCUAAAGUAUGUCAAGAGUGUAUUUUUGUUGAGUGAGGGCGAGCUUCCCAUCUUGAUAGGCAAACUCAAUCCGAAUGAAAUACUAUAGAAUCUCUAGGUCAUGAAUGUUGAGGUGCUGCUACAAGUAAGCUUUGGUAAUAGAGAUGCCAACUUCAUCACUCCUAGUCACAAGAAUGUCGUUGACAUAAAUUGUAAGAAUAAUAAUGUCACCCUCUAUCUUUUUCUUGAGCAUGGUGGGAUGUGAAACCAAAGGUGGUCAAAAGUUUGAUAAACUUGGCAAACCAAGCGCAUGGGCUCUACUUGAGCCCAUAAAUAACAUGUUGUAAGAGACACAGCUUGGAUGACUCCAUUUGAACAACAUAUCUAGGGGGUUACUUCAUGAAGACUUGCUCGUCAAGAUCACCAUAAAGAAAGAUAUUAUAAAUAUAUAAUUGGUGGAGAGAUCAUGAUUGAUUGACAACAAGAGAGAGGAGCAUGUGGAUAGAGUUGAGGUAGACAAUGGGAGAAAAUGUCUCCAUGUAGUUGAUCUGAUACCAUGUUGACAGAGGAGAGAGAAAUCCUAAGAAAUGAAUUAAAGAAAUAAUAAAGACGUACAUAAAUGUUUUAUAGAAAAAUAAAGAGAGAGGAGAGAGGAGAAGGAAUAAUAUGCCCUUAAUGGGCCAAGUGAGCUAUUGAACAUGCUUUAUUGUCAUUGCCUCUCUCUCCUCCCACUCUUGGGGACCAACUUCACUACUACCUACUUUAUCGCCGCCACUAUGGUUUCGCCCCUCUCUCCUUAGUCAAUAUGGUUUCUUUGAAGUCUCACCUUCACCACUAUGGGCUCUCUCUCCUCCCACCUUUGAAGACUGACAUAGUCACCACCGACUUCACCUUCACCGCCAAGGCAACUAAAGGUACCUCUCCCCCCCUCCUCUCUCUCUUCUCAAUUGAUAGGGCUUUUCAAAAACCCCACCUUCACCACUACCAUCUCUCUCUCUUGCCACUCUUAGAGAUUGACUUUGUCAUUGGCGACUUCAUUGCGAGUGACAAAAAGAAAAAUAUGUAUUUUUUUGUUGUAUAUUAAGAAGCUUAAUUAGACUCAAUCAUAAACUAAUUUCAUUUAAUGUCAGUAUCUAUAGAUAUAUAUAUAUAUCUCUUAAUAAAGUUAAGAAUUACAACUAAUACAUACAUAUUAUAAUCUUAGGUGAAGCUUAAUUUAUACUUAUCUUAAUAAAGUUAUUACGUCUAAUACAGAUCUUUAUAAAUUUAGGAUUAUUUGUAUGUAAUAUAUAUAAUCCAAACAUAUAUAUAUAUAAUAAUAUACAAAUUUAUAUCUAAUAUUUAUCUAUAUAUUUAACAUAUGUAUCAUAUACAUAUUUAUAUACAAUAAUUAUUCCUAAUAUAUAAAUAUAUAUUAUGUAGAGAUAGUAUAAUAUAAUAAUAUUAUAUGACAAUCAUGAUUAUGAUCAAUCAGACUGUCAUGAUUGAUUAUCACAAUCUACAAUUUUUGGCUGAUUAGUUGGAAUGACUUCACUUUGAUGACAUUAUUAUCAUGAAUAAUAAAUUAAAUUAAAUUAAAUUAAAUUAAAUUAUUAUUAUAUUUUACAUGUGUUUUAUUUAUUUAUUUAUUUUAUGUGUUCAUUUAUUUUAAUAUUACAUUUUCAAUAUUCUAAUUUAUUGUCUAUAUCCAUGUGAUUGGUAGUUUUAAUUUUAGAUAGUAAUUAGAUAAAUGAUAUAAAUAUCUAAUGGACUAUCAAAGAAGAAUAUUAAUUUGUUUAGUCCAAUCAUAAAAAUAUAAUGGCUGCCAUGUAAUUAUAUAUUUAACUUGGACAACUUGGGUUUCCUCACUAACAUGACACAAAACAAGAAUGAUUACUUGUGUUAAUUACAUCAUGUAGAUUUUAAAUCUAAUCCGAAUGACAUUCAACCUUGCAUUUAGAUAAAUGAGAUUAACAUUAAUCUCCAAUGUGAGAUUAUUAUGCUUAUAUCUAAAUGGGUGAAAUUAUUGUAGUUAUAUACUAAAUAUGGAGUAUUUAAGUACUCAAUGAUACUAUACUUCAUAAACUUUUAUUUAUGUGUAAUUAGUCUUAUGUUCAUUUAACUAAUAGUACAUUAUUUCAUCUGCCUACAUAGAGUUAUAAUGGUACUAUUAUUAAAUAUAAAUGUUAUUUGAUGUGAGUUAUUUAUUUACAACUAAUAGAGUGACUAGGGUACUAAUGUUGUGAUGCAAACUUCUUAGAAUGAAAAGAAACUUUACUAUUUCAAUUGGUUUUGAUGGAUUUUGAUCCAUGUUUUUGAGUUCUACCCCUAUAGCACAAACGAAUGAAAGUAAUGCAGAUGUAAAGAUUUUCUAUAAGAGAUAAGAGAGAUUCAACAAAUUGGCUUUAUCAUUUACGUUACAACAUAUGAUAUAAAUAAUAGAAAUCUUUUGACUUCUAACACUUUAACAACUGCUUACAUAGAUAUGAUAAAAUAAUAAUUUGUUGGGUUUGACAAAGUCAAAGUAUGUGCCUUGAUUUAGAAGCCCACUUUCAUACACUAUACAUGGAAGAUAAAUAUAUGGGAAUAUAUCAUGGACAUGUGUGAUAUUGCAAGGAAAAUAAAUGAUAUGAAUAAUAUUAUUUCUAAGACCUUUUUGGUCUAUUACAUGUUACAUAUACUAUCAGCUGAAUAUGACCUUUUUAAGGUCUUCUACAACACAUAAGGAUGACCAAGUGUGUUUAUGAGGAAGAAAGGUAAGUUGUUAAUUCUCUAGACCAUUAAAUGUCAUAAAUAUGGUAACUCAUAGGCCAAGGAAGCAUGUAUUAAAGGGCAAGAUUCUUAAGAAAUCUUUAGAGAAGAAAUACGAAUUGAGUGUGACUUACAAGAAACCUCCGAUCAUCUGAAAAAGGAAUGCUUGAAGUGUGAGGAAUAGUUAAUCAAGUAGAAUUUAGGUAAUGAAGUUUUUAUCAUGAGCCAUGAAUCUAAUCUAGUUUCUAUUUCUAAUUCAAGUUGGUAGAUUAACUUAGGCUCCACUAUGCAUAAUUCAAACACUUAACAUGGGUUUCUAAUAAGAUUUCUUCAAACUAAGUGCAAACCGAAUGUCAUCUUGGGAAAUUAGAUGUAUUCGGAUGUAAAGUCAGUAGGAGACUAUAGAAUCACCUUAGAGUUUAGAGAAACUUUACAUUUGAAGAACUCUUUUUAUAUUCCAUCAUUUCAACAAAAUUUAAUAUCUAUGAUCAAAUUAGUUAAAAACAAUUAUGGUGUUAAUUUUGAUACAUCUGACAUGUCUUUAACUAGAUGAAAUAUUACUAUUGAGAUUGAUAUAAUUUACUAAUUAUUUAAACUUAAUAUAUUUUCUGAAAAUAUUUUGUUAUUUUGCUCGAAUAAAAUGAAUAGAACUAACAAUAACUCUAUAAUUUUGUGGCAUAGAAGGUUAUGACACCUAUCCUAAAAGAGGGUGGAGAGAUUAGUGAAAGAAAGUCUUUUGAGAUCUUUAGAUUUCAUAGAUCUUGAUAUUUAUGUUGAUUGUAUUAAGGCAAAAACAACUAAUAUAUUUAGGAAAAUGUCAUAAAAUAUAAGACAACAUUAUAUUUGAUUCAUAUAAAUGUAUGUAGACUUUUUUAUCCAUGUUUAACAUAUUAGAGGUAUUCGUAACUUUUAUCGAUAACUUCUUAAGGUUUAUAUAUCUUUACUUCUUAUGUGAUCAAUUUGAAGUCUUUGACAUGUUCACAAAUUUUAAGAAAAAUGUAGAUAAAUAAUUAAGAAAGUCUAUCUAGAUAGUCAGAUCAAAUAGAGGUGGAGAAUACUAUGGUAGAUACACUAAGAAAGGACAAAUGCUACAAUCAUUUGUGUUGUUUCUUAAGGAACAUAACAUAAUAUCUCAAUAUAUAAUGUCAAGCAAGCAUAACAUAAAUAGAGUUGUAGAAAAAUUAAGCAUAAUGUUUAAAGAAAUGAUGAGGGCUUUACUCAACUCUAUUAAUUUCAAUGUAUUGUGAAGUUUUAAAGAUAGUUAUAUAUAUCCUAAAUAGGGUUCUAACAAAGUUUAUACUGAAAAAUCCUUACGAGUUAUAGACUAAUAAUAAACUCUCUUUAGGUUAUAUGAAACAUAUGGGGUUGUUCAAUUGAAGUUAAACUUUACAAUGCACAUGAGAAAUUAACUCUCUUUUGGUUACAUGAACAUAUAGGGUUGUUCAAUUGAAGUUAAAUUUUACAAUGCACAUGAGAAAUCUCUAAGUUCAAGGAUAGGUAGUGGCUACUUUAUUAGCUAUCUAAAGAGGUUUAGAUGAUAUAGAUUAUAUUGUCAUACACAUAUCAUAAGAGUUGUUGAAAUUAAUAGAGCUAUCUUUUUAAAGGAUGUUUGUGUCAAUAGGAGUGUUCUUAGAGAUUUUAUUUUUGAGGAGUUUUAAGAAGAUAUUAUUAUACGUCAGUAGAUUUUUGGUAAGGGCAAUGAUGUUUAUCUUAUUCAUUAGACUCAAUUUUAUUUGCCAUUUGUUAUUUCAACUUUAGAAAAUAAUAAAAGGGCAAAUAUCUACUUAAAAACAACUACAUGAACAAUCAUCUAAGCUUAUUGUAGACCCAUCUAUUUUAGAUCUAUAUCAAAACCAAGAAGUGAAUGUAAGAAGAUCAAGUAGAUAAAGAAAAUCAAGUAUUUCAUUUGACUAUUUGAUCUCUCACUUGAAGAAAUAGGUCAAUGGAUAAAUGGUCCCAUUACAUUUUCAUGUGAUGAACCAUGUAAACUCUUAUCACUAGUUACAAGCUAUAAAGGAAGAGCUUGUAUUCAUAAAUUACAAUCAAGUAUAGGACAUCAUAGACUUAUUUUGGAAAAGAAGUAUAUUGGCUAUAAUAGGUCUAUAAGACUAAACUAAAUCUUGAUGGCACAAUGAUAUAAAGUCAGACUUGUAGCAUAAGAUUUCACAUAGAAGAAGGACAUUGACCACAAUGAGAGUUAUGCUUGAAUUUCUUUUAAAGAUUUAUUAACAAUAAUUAUGACCUUAAUAACUCAUUUCGAUUUAGAGUUACAUCAAAUGGAUGUGAAAAUAAUUUUCUUACAGUAUUAAUUAUAAGAAGUGUACAGGUAGCAGCCUCAAGGAUUUGAGGUUAAAGGUGAAGAACAUAUAGUUUGUAAGUUGAAUAAAUUUAUGUAUGGACUGUAACAAACUUCUAGAUAGUGGUAUAAUAAAUAUUCAUUUAUCACCAAAAAUUAAUUAACUAUCCAUUUGGUUUUUGAAUCAAUGAAUCAUAGUAAACAUGAAUUACUAUAUAUCAUCAUGUUAGAGCAAAAGUUGAGAUAUGUAUAAAUGACUCUAAAAUUUAGCUACAUUUGCAUCAUGUACUUAUGGAUUUAAUUACUUAUGUUUUAUAACUUUUUUCUAAGGUUUAUCACCUUAAGAAUUUAUUUCAAUUUAUUAGGAAUAUGAGUUCAAAAUUUUAUAAUUUUAUUCUAAAGAGAUUAAUUUCUAUAGAUUUGCCAAGGUGAUAAGGAUUAACAUGGAAUGACAAAGUUGAAAAACUUUACAUGUGAGAGAGGGUAGAUUGGGGCAUAUAAAAUUGAACACAAUGCCUACAAGAUGGGGCUUUACUAAGCCCACUAAAAGAUUAAGNNNNNNNNNNNNNNNNNNNNNNNNNNNNNNNNNNNNNNNNNNNNNNNNNNNNNNNNNNNNNNNNNNNNNNNNNNNNNNNNNNNNNNNNNNNNNNNNNNNNNNNNNNNNNNNNNNNNNNNNNNNNNNNNNNNNNNNNNNNNNNNNNNNNNNNNNNNNNNNNNNNNNNNNNNNNNNNNNNNNNNNNNNNNNNNNNNNNNNNNNNNNNNNNNNNNNNNNNNNNNNNNNNNNNNNNNNNNNNNNNNNNNNNNNNNNNNNNNNNNNNNNNNNNNNNNNNNNNNNNNNNNNNNNNNNNNNNNNNNNNNNNNNNNNNNNNNNNNNNNNNNNNNNNNNNNNNNNNNNNNNNNNNNNNNNNNNNNNNNNNNNNNNNNNNNNNNNNNNNNNNNNNNNNNNNNNNNNNNNNNNNNNNNNNNNNNNNNNNNNNNNNNNNNNNNNNNNNNNNNNNNNNNNNNNNNNNNNNNNNNNNNNNNNNNNNNNNNNNNNNNNNNNNNNNNNNNNNNNNNNNNNNNNNNNNNNNNNNNNNNNNNNNNNNNNNNNNNNNNNNNNNNNNNNNNNNUGGUUUCUAGUUAGUUAAUAUGAAUUUUUUUGAUUAAUUAUAGGAUUUUAUAAUCUUAUUUUGUUGAGAUAAAUGAAAAAAAAAGAUUAAAGGAAAAAAUAAAAACAUUGUUGGCCAACUAAGCCCGCUAACGGGUCGAAGGCCUAGUUGGGCAAGGCCGCAGAGCGACUUAGGACCAUAAGCUCAAGGCUCAAGUAGUUAAGGACCGGAUCGUGAGCUCAAGGCUCAAGCGGCUGAAGACGUGGAUUACGAGCUCGGCGACUCAAGCGGUUGACAUGUGCAUCACUCCCCUUCUAUGUCACUGGUGGUCAGCCAAGUGUGGGGCAAGGAGUGGUCAUACACAUGUGGAUGAGAUAUACCUAUUGAUGGGUAAAGAAGGCACCACCUUAUAUUCACAUGAAAAUUAGUCAAAAAAUCGAUGUAAGACUAAACCCACCACUCUAACCUUUCCCCGCAAGAUUUAUAAAUGCCCAAAAUAUCCCUCCAUGACCAUAAAGAAAAUAUCCUUAUGAUGUCACAUUAUUAGGGCAUUAUUAUACUUAUUUUAUCUCUCUCUCUUUCUCUCUCUCGCAGGUGGGCAACCGACGAAGAAAUUGUAAUUUCCGGUGAGUAAUUAAGUUGUAAAAAUUGUCAAAAUAUCAACAAAAACUUAGUCGACAUGAUUCACAAAGUAUUGUGACUAAAAUUGAUGAAUGAUUCUAGACAAAACAUUGCGAACUUAAUGAAAAAAUUAUCUCUAAUUGAUCGACAAACAAGUCAUCACUAAGUAGAAGAUGAUAUGUGGGGAGAUGAGUCACCACCUCCUCAGAGUGUACUAGAUACGAUAAAGGGCCUCCUCUUGCUGUGUUGACUUGAGGAUGAAGCCCCUAAGACAUGCCCCACCUUCAUCCAGCUUACCUCCAUCGGGUGACAGCCACCGGAGGGCUGCAAGUCACCGUUUUUCUGUUCUGCCAGGUGACAGCCACUAGAAACAAUUUGGUGACACAUUCUACUGAUUUCUAGACUUCGCAAGAAGAUCUAGAGAUUCUCCACAUCAUCUUUGUCCAAGGAGAUCCUUCGAGGCCGUGGAUAUUACAUGAAUUCCUUCUCGAACACGUAAAAUUCUAGCGAUCAUUGUCACGAAGUCGUAACUCUAUUUUUCUUGCCUUUAUUUCAUUUUCAUUUAAAUUAGUAAUAUUUGGUACGAUUUCAAGCUUCAAUAUCCUUCUUCAUUGAGUUACAAUUCGACAAUAAUCACUUACGAAAGAAUCGUAGGUCGGAACUUUGUUUUCGCUUGAUUCGUGUUCUUUAGGCAUUGAUGUCACUCUAACGUCAUAGCCUUAUUUCAUUUUCUCAUUUCUUAAAUAUAUUAUAUUUAUCAUUUAGUUAAAAACUCGUAAAAAUUUGUAUUCGUUUAGGAAAAUUAUGAAAUAUUACCCAAUAUUAUUACAUCUGUGUGAUCGACCUAGAAAUUUUUCACUAUUUUUGGAAUCUUUUAUCGGUUUAUAAAUAAUUUAUUUAUUCUAAUAUACAUUUAACAUUUCAAGAAUUUAUCUUUCUAGCUUUAUAAAUUUUAAAUUUAUGUGAUUUAUUAUACAACAAUUAAGUCAUGUCAUGGGCAUGUAACCUUUGAAAAGGGCAAAUAAGAUCGAGGCCUUUUUACAUGCACAUAGGAGGUGGCGGUUGGGUGACAAAUAACUAAGGCCUCAAGGUUUCAAGUAUGAUUUCUUCACCUUAUUCUCUCACUUUUUAGCUCUUUAGACUCUCUUUUAUUUUUUAGAAGAUGAGUAUCAGUUAAUAGCUACUUUUCAUUGAGUUUCUCGAGAGUUAUUUAUCUCUAUCUUGGGUUUCUCAUGUCUAGGUGGUGACAUCAAGGCAAAAGAAAUGAGAUAUAUAGUAACUCGUUCAUUUCUUUCAAGUUUAACAUUUUUCAUGAAUGUCUUACCUUCUUAGUAAUCCAUUGAAUGCUUUUUUCUCUUCCAAUGACCAUGUUUUCAUGAUUUGGUGAUAGAAUCAUCAAGUAUAGCGUCCAAAAUCAUUUUUUGGGUAAACAAGGGAGUUCUGUAUCAAACCAUGUAUUUUCUUUAAAGUUUAUGAUUUUUACUAAGCCUUGACUUCCUUAAAAAUCCAAUGAAUAUUUUUUUCCUUCCAUAGAUCAUAUUUUGAUGAUUUGGUGAUAGAAUCAUCAAGCACAUCUCUAGAAAUCAUAUUUUGAGUUUCUUUGUUCGACCUUUCUAUAGACUGAAUCUGAUUUUGUGAGUUACACAAAAAAGUUAUGUCACUAUCUUUUGGAAAAUCUUAGUUAAUUGGUUUUAUAUCUUCUAUAAUUUUUCUGUGAUUUUAUAAAGUUCUUAAAAUAGGUUUUUAUAUUUUAAAAGAAUCUCUCUACUUUUUCUUUCUUUUCAACCUUCCCAUGGAUCAAAUCUGAUUUCAUGAGUGAUAGAUGGAUUUAGGUUAAAAUAUUAUGGAAGAACUUAACAUAGUCAGUUUCUCAUCUUUUGAAAUUUUUUCAUACUUUUAGAAUAUGUUUAGUAUAGGUUUCUAAAUUUUAUCAUAACUCUUUUCUUUAUUUGUUUUGUUCUUGAUUUCUAAUUUUUAGCUGUUAAGAAUUUUGUUGAUCAGUAAAUGUCACCUUGAAUUACAAUAUACUUUUUAAGGGAACUAAGUUAUAGUUAGUUAUCUAUAAUUUUUGAUUUUUUCCUAUAUUUUAGAGUUAGAAACAUUAGGAGUUCAUAAUUUACAAAAACAAACUUAUAUCCAUUUCUUUUUUUUUAAAUUAUAUUUAAAGGAUACUCUCAACUUUUUUAUUUCCUUGAGGAUCGACCUAAAACCCUUACUUGAAGAAAGUUUAUUCUGGUUUUUAAUUUAUAAAUAUUAAAUUUGAGUGUCUAAAUUAACAACAAUUUUAGGCACAUCAUGGUACUUCAAAUUUAACGAAGUUAUCAUGUCCUUUGGGUUUUAGAAAAAUAUUAUUGAUCAAUAUAUAUAACUAAAAGAAAGUGAGAAUAGAUGUAUAUUACUUGUGUUAUAUAUAUAUAUAUAUAUAUGAUAUUUUACUUGUUAGGUUAAAUGUUAGUUUAUUGAAGAAGAUCAAAGAUUUUCUAUCUAACAAUUUUGAUAUGAAGGAAAUGGGUAAAGUCAAUUACAUUAUUUGCAUAUUCACCAAAAUAGGUCUUUGAGUAUGGUUGGGCUAUCUCAAAGGUUUUACAUAUCAAAUGUGUUGAAAAGGUUUUUAAUGAAAAAUUACUUUCUUAGUAAAACACAUAUUGUUAAAGGUGAUAAACUAAGGAAAUUGCAAUGACCUCUUUUAAAUGUGAAGAGCCUUGCAAUAAAAGAAAAAUCAUAUUUUGGUGUAUUUAGAUCUCUCAACAAUGUGCAAACACGUACCCAUCUUGACCUAUCAUUUGUCACUAGUCAUCUAGGAAGAUAUUAAAAUGACCUUGGCCUGAUAUAUUGGUAAGCUGCAAAAAAGGUUAUGAGAUAUAUUCAAUGAACUAAAAAUCAAAUGCUCACAUAUAGGCGAACAGAUCAACUAUAAGUUAUUGAUAAUAUAAUUUAAAUUUCAAUAGAUGUUUGGACACACAAAGAUCUAUUUCAUGUUAUAUGUUCUUACUUGUUGGAGGAGCUAUCUCAUGAUCUAGUACAAGAUAAAAAACAAUUACAAUAUCCACAAUGGAAGGUGAGUAAAUAACUUACUUCCACACAUCUUUUUUUCUAAAUAACUUAUUUCCACAUAUCUUCGCAAGUUAUAUAGAAGAAGUAUUUCAUUACACACUUGAGAGGUGUAGACUCUAUAUAGAAACCCAUGAGGCUAUAUUAUGUCAAUGAAGUCGCCAUCAAGUUCCCUAGUAACAGUAAGAACUUAAGUACUUAUAAGCAUAUAAAGAUUCAGUUAUUAGUUAUGAAAGAGAGAAUCAAAUAUCAAUUAGUGUCAAUUAAUUAUACUGGGACUAACUAUAUGCUAGUUAAUCCUCUUAUGAAGUCACUUCCACUAGUAUCAAUAGUGGACAUAUCUAUAACAUUGGGUUGGAUAGUUCUCUAGAAGAUAUGAUAUGUAUUUAGAUGCUAAUGUGAUUUAUGAUAUCACACAUUGUGUAUGUUAAUUCAUUGUGAACUAUCAAUUAUUGUUAGAUAAAUAGGAGAAUGACACUAUUUGUUUAGUCAUGACAUUGUGAGUUCAUUAAUAAAAGUUCUUUAACUACCACAUAAAGUAUUUGAUUUUAUAUUGAUCACAAAUAUCUUAGUACAUAGAAGGGACAUAUAUUCUUAACAUUAUAUUAUCACAAUGACUAAUACUUUUGAGGGAUAUUAUGAUCAAAAUGAGAGUACUAUUUAUAAGCAUUAAAGUUGUGCUUGCUCCACAUGAUUAUCUAAUAUAGACAAAAUAAGGUAAAGUCAAGUGGGAGAUUGUUGGAGUCAAACUCUAUUAAGGUGACUUUUUUAAUCAAAUUAGGUAUUAAUAUAAUUAGAAAUAGUUAGUGGCAUCAAAGGCAAAAUUGUAAAAUAGUUAUGAAGUAUAUCACAUAAAGUUUUGCCCUAAGAUUUUAACAUAACAGAACAAUACAACUCAUAUGGUGACACUCCAUCAAUAAGAGAGAGGUAAUGAUUGUGGUGAUUGAACAGGGGAAAAAAUGAGAAAGAUCCAUAGGUGUUUGUCGUAUUCCACCUUAAUGGUGAAUCUAGGUAAGCCUAUAGUCCAUUAAGCAAACAGAAGAUGGAAGGAGGUUUCCUACUUUGACUACAUUAUGCUACUCAUCUACUCUACUACCAAGGAGGUUUCUUAUUUUCUUGUGUAGAUACCUACUCAAUACCACAGGUCAAAUCAUCAUUUUGUUCCUACCAAAUUUAAUUUGUGGUAUCUUCUUCCUCUAUUUCCCAUUCUCAAUGUCAUUUAUUGUGAAUAUUAUUAUCCCAUUCUCAUUUUUCCACUAUUACUAGGCCAUCAUUUCAUACCACUCUUUUCUCAACAGAUUAGAAGAAUAUCCCCUUUCAUGAAUACAAAUUGACUAAUCAUGACCUUCUUUAGUGAAUGUUUUUGGCAAAUCAAUUAUUGUAACAUCACAUGUCAAUACUCAUACAUAUCAACCAAUGUAGUUUCCAAUUCAAUUUUAGUUGUAACCACUAACAAAUAGGUUACACAACUUCCAUGUAAUAUUUAUUUCAUCAUGCAUAAAACCUACAUUCAUAUAGUUUCAUAUCAUAGUUUUGGGGCAUCAAAUCUUUUCAUAUUGCAUACAUUUUCAUGAUUUAUUUGGAAAAUAUGAUAUCCAUUUAUUUUAUUAUUAACCAUAAAAAUUCCACAAAUAUUAUUUCAAAAAAUGGGGUAUGUAGUCAUUAAAACCAUGUCAUUAGGUUUGAUAUUUAUGAUUAUAUAUAUUGCAUUUAAAAGUAGAGUUACUACAUAUAAGAUAUAUAUCAACAACCAAGAUAUUCAAGUAGCAAUAGGAUGAGAGUUACAUGUUACAAAAUCAAUAAAACGGAGAUAUAAAUUAAUUUUCAAUAUUAAUACAUAAAAAAUCAAUAAAUGCCUUGUGUUCAUAUGCAAAGGUAAUAAAAUGUUCAAUAUUAAGGAGACAAACAUGAUAGAUGAGAUAUUUCAAACCAACAAGAUAUGCGUAAUAUUACCCCUCACAAUGUUAUUACAUUCAAAAUUUGGUUAACAUACUCACUUCAUUGCAACCCCUCACUCCAUGGUUGAGAAAAUGAGGAUUUCUCUCUAAAGCCAAAUGGAGAAGGCUUCCCCCUAUCUUUCUCUCUAUAUUCAUUUAUAUAAGUGUAUUCUUCUGAGGUCCUUGGGUAGAGAACAUUGUUUUAAAUGGAAAGGUUAUUGUACCUUCUCCUAAUCACCAAAAAAAAGAAUAUUUGAAACCCUAUUUGUAGCUAUUGAAGAGAAAGGCCUUCAAUCUCCAAUUUUUCUUUCCCCAAGGCAAUCUUUUUAUAUGUUACCUCUCAAAUAGGUGGACUAGCUUCAUGCCCAUAACCAGUCCUUAAAAUGAGAUUAAGAGAGAGAGGAGAAGUUUGAGUUGAACUAUGAUCAAAAGUUGACCAAGUCACCCUACAAGAUCUUGAAUAGUUUUGAAAUGCAAGACCUUGAAUUUAAGAUGUCUCAUUAUAGAGCUUACAUGUUCUGUUGGAUCACUAUAUGCAUAUUAUUUUGAUGAUGAGAAAUACUCAGAAGAUCGAUUAAAUAAUCAAAUUAUGCUUAAUUUUUAGUAAAAUUCAUGUGCGAUAAUAUAAGUUAUUAUUUAUGAAUAAUUUUAUGUAAAAUUUUAAUACAUAACAAUGUGAAUUCAUUGUGUAUUCAGACUGAUUAUAUUAAAUUAAUUUAUUUGAUUAGAGCCAUUAUUUUUAUAUUUAUGCGAAAAUCAUCAAUAUUUAUAAACUUUCACAAUGAGAAAAAUAAUAGUUAGGACAUUCAAAUCAACAAAAAUGGGUACAAAAGCUUAUGUAGUCUAUUACGUACCUGUAAUAUUAUAUUAUCAUUUUAAAUGUAUUUUACACCCAAUUAAUUACAUAAAUUAAAUUCAUUUAUUCUACAUGCUAGGAUGUUUUGAAUAUUAAUGAGUAUCUUAUAGAAAUAGUGAUAAAUAUUAUGAAUUAUCGAAGUUAUUAUUUUACAUAUUCAAAUCAAGUUCAAGGUGACUACUUGAUGAUCAUAUUUUAUUCAACAAAACUUGAAUAAAUUUUGAUUAUAAAAUCAUUACUUUAUCAAGAAAUUUAUUAUCAACUCUCAAUUCAUGAUAUCAGAUCACUAUUGGACUGGUUUGAACUAGUGUUUAACUUUAUGGUAACAUAUAUGAACUUCUCAUGGGGAUAUUUGAAAGCUUAAAGAACAGGUUUAUAAUACAUCACUUUAAUGAGAUAAGUGGCACAUAAGUAUCAUAUUUUAUGCAUUCAUUCAUGCCAAACGACACUGAUUUAAAGUAAAAUCAAGUUAAUUAUAUUUUAUAUUAAUUUCAUGAAAUACAUGCCUAAUGUACAAUUUUUUCAUACUCUUAUAGCAUGUUUAUACUUUGGAUACUCCUUUCUUAUAUGUCAAUAUGCUUUAAAAUAUAAGUUCAAAUGAGAAUUUAACAGUUGGAGUUCAUUAUUUUAGAUAAAAAAAUAUUUUUUUGUUUUUCAUAGUAUCUUUUAGUUAUAUCUUUAUUUCAAGGAGACAUUUGAACCCAUUAAGCCCAUUAUGGGGUGCAGUAAGUCAAUUUAAUUAAUUAGUUUAAAAUUACGCCAAGGGAGAAAAGGCUGGAAAAAUCAGCAAAACAAUGUUAAAUCUAAUCUCAGUAUAAAAAUUUAAAUUUAGGGCCAAAAAAUGAUCCAUUCUUCCUCAUGAGGGUGAUAGCCAAUGUUUUCUUCUGACUCGUUGUCAAUUUCCCAUGCCAUUUUGUGAUUUAAAUCUGAUCUAUCUUCAUUUCUGAAUUCAUUUUACUGUUUCAUUUAGAAGAUAAGUAGAUGAAUCAAGGAAGUAACUAAAUUAUAGGGAUUUUACUUAUGACUUUAUUUGAUUUUGUUUGUCCAUUGAAUCAUGCUGUCAAAGGGAAAAGUUCCUAAUUUUUUAUCUAUUUUUUGCCUAAUUCUUGAUGUUUUCCAAUUCGGAUUAGCUUCAUUUAUGAACUGAAUAAUGCAACAAAAACUGAUAGAUUCAUCCUAUAUUUUGAAUUCAUUUUUUCGCCUCAUUCUAUUUUGAUUUUUUUUCUUAAUGUUUUAUUUUUUCAAAUUGAUCCUAAACUCAUUUUCAAGCCUUUUUAUAAUUUCUAUUCCUAUUUUGGAUCAGAAUUUUUAUAAUUUCCCUUAGAUAUUGUUUGGUUCUCACUAACAAGAGAACCCAUUGUUUGAACCAUUUAUCUUUCUCCAAAAUUUCCUCCAUUGUUCUCUCUGUGGUCUACUCUUCUCCCUCUCCCUCUCCCUCUCCCUCUCCUCUAUAUUUUCCUCCGUUUUUUUCUUGUUAUGAUUUCUUCCUCCUUUCUCUCCCCUCUUUCUUCUUCUCUUGUUUUCUCUUCAUUUUUUUUGCUCCACUGUCCCUUCUCUCUCUUCUCCUGUUUUCUCUCUUUAUAAUUUCUUCCUCCUCUCUCUAUUGUCCUAUUUUCUUUGUUAACCAUCGCUUAGGCUAUUUAAUCCCUUUAAUUCUUUCAUGCAGAUCAAGGAUGAGAUGCUGAUCAAGGAAGAGUUAAUCUUCUUGUUUGCAGAUAAUCAAGCACAAAACAGCUCUUCUACUCUCCAUCUUCAUUAUUUCUUUAAUAUUUUACUUUGAUUUAGAUUUAUUUAGAGAGCACAAGACAUUCUCAUCAUGAUUUAUGAUAUUCCUUGUAGAAUUGACUUGAACUCAUUCCAAAUACUUGAUUUAGUUCAAUGUGAAUUCAGAGUUAUAAAUAUUAAAUUUGACUUCUCUUAAUACAAUGACUAAGAGAUGAUCACAUGUAUUUUUUUUUCUAGUUAUUCAAAUUUCUAACUAACUUUAACGCAAUUUGAUUUUAAUAUGACUUGUCGCUGUAAAGAAAAUCAUUAUGUCUUUUAUAUGAAUGGUCAGAAAAUUAUUUGUCCAUAAAAGAUAUUAAUUUCCCUAGCACUAUAAUGGAAAAGAAAAUAUAGGUGAUGGUAAUCGACAAGAAUGAGCUUUUUACUAAAUUGAAUAUAAUACUGAUAUAAUUUCCUUACAAACACAAGAAGAAGUGGAAAAAAAGCAGCUCAAGUACUAGCCUAAAGACUAAUAUGUCUAUAGACAAUUCAAGAACCAUAUAACCAAUAUUAGGAGGUAAAGUAUUGAUUGAUUGCGAGAGGCUCAAGGCUACAUUUGGCAAAAGUGGAUCAUGUAGUGUCCACCUUCUUCCACCAUUUUUUGACUGUUCUCUACCCUAUUUUACUAUUUCCCCAUUAUUUUAUUUCUAUUAUGUUGAUGUCCUUAGACAUAGAUUUUGAUAUUACAAAUAUAUGAGGAAAUAUAUAAUUCAUGAUUGAUAUUAUUCACAAGAUUAUGAUAAUUAAUUUAUAAAUUUCAUAAAAAUAAAUCUAUUAUUCAUCUUGUGACAUUAUGACUAACCUUGAGACUAAGCGAAAUGAUGAAAAGGUGAAGCACCACACAUGGAUAAAUAUUUGUUAGAAAAUAAAUAUUUAAUAGGUAAAUAAUGGUUAUGUUCCUAAUUCAUAUAUCCAUGAUUAUUUAACCAUUUAAGUGUAUCUAUUAUUUAUUAGUCACAUGCAUUAUUAAAAGAAAGAGAAAAAAGUUUAAAAUAUCAAAUGAGUUCUUGUAAGUCUCAAACCAAAAAUUUGGAUGAUGAAAUGUUAGUUACUUAUGUGAAGAAAAAUAUUAGCUUAACAUUUGAAUCUAAAGAUAGAGUCAACAAAAAAGUUAUUUUUCUGUGAGAGAAAAAUCUCUAGUUUGAAUUUCAAAUCGAAUGGACUAGAAACUAGAAAGAUAUUAAAUUUGCAAUGGUUAGAGGUCAUUGUCACGCGUUCUAGAAAAUGGUAAGUGUUUGAAUUAACCUUUUGACUUUAUUUCUCGAAUAAAUUAUGGAAAUCCAUUGAAAGACGAUGCCCUAUAAGUAAAAGAAGCAAGGGAGAUCAAAAAUAACGAUUUUAAUUUGAUAUACAAUGAUUUAUCUCUCACGAUCAAGAUUCAUCAUCGUCGAGCUUCAAUUACAAGUAGACUACAUCAUCCUUCUUCAUCAACGAUUGGUGAUCAAGAUAAAGCUUGAAUCUUUCAAGGAGGCUCUCCAUCAAACCCUAAGGUAACUGGGUGGUGAGUGGAGAGUGAGUUUGGGCAAAGGCAUGAGGUUUUCUAAGCCCUGUCUGACCUAGAGGUCGAACCUGAGGUAUUAAGGCUAUUGAUCCAGUUAAAAUCAGUGUGUAUUUUUAAGGAAAAUAAUGAAAUACUAAUAAGAAGGAUCCUCUGGGAUUAGAAGUAGUUAGGUGAGGGGUGAACUAGUAUAAAAAGCUCUUAUCUCAUAGUGAGAUCCUGUAGGAAGAGAGAGAAAGUCAUUAUAUGCAUAGAUAAUCACAUAGAGCUAUGUUAACACAUCUAACAUCUAAGUAGAAAAUUUGAGAUUUCUAAAAUACUAAGUCACCUCCCCUCGUGGUAUUUUGUCUAGCCUCUAGAUCUUUCAUAUUAUUCUAUCAUUUUUUUAUUUUUUCCAAAUAAUUAUUCUUCUUAUCUAAUACCUUUGAAUGUGUGUCAUUGAUCUAAAGUUGUCCAAAUACAAUUUCACACUAUUUCUUGCAACUUAUCGAAGGAGUAUCAUAUCAAAUACCUAAUUCAUUCAUGCUAGUCGAGAAGUGAAUAUUAUACCAUAAAAUUUAAAUUUUUUAUUUGAGGCAAAAAAAAUUUUGAAUGAAUUUUCUAUCACAUAAGAUUUACCCAAUCAUCUUUCUCCAUUGAGGGAUGUACAACAUUCUAUUGACUUAAUUCAAUCACUAAGUUUACCAAAUUUAUCUCAUUAUAGGAUGAUUUCAAAGGAAAAUCAAAAUUUAUAAUAAAAAGUUAAAGAAUUAUAGCAAAAGAGACUAAUUAGUGAAAGCAUAUGCCCCUACUUUGUUAAUGAAUUAUUAGUUCUGAAAAGGAUGGAAGUUAGCAUAUAUGUAUUGAUAGCAAAGCCAUUAAUUUGGUGUCCAAUACACAAUUUCAAUUCCAAGGUUGGAUAAUAUGCUUAAUAUGCAUAGCGACUUGAAAUUGUUUUUUAGGGUAGACCUUAAAAAUGGAUAUCAUCAUAUUCAAGUUUGUUUAGGUGAUGAAUGGAAAAUAACUUUUAAAGCUAAAACAUUUCUCUAUUAAUGGUUGGUAAUGCCAUUUAGCUUAUCUAAUAUACCAUGUAUGUUCAAGAAGAUGGCAAAUCAUGUAUUAAGACUAUUUAUUAGAAAAAAAAUUUCUUCAUAGUUUGAUGAUAUUUUGAUAUUAACACAACUGAAGAAAAUCAUAUUCAUCAUUUAAGAUCUAUGUUGUGUUUUACAACAAAAAGCUUCAAUCAAAAUAUAAAGAAGUGUAAAUUUAUGACUUCAAUUUUAGUUUUUCUAGUCUAUAUCAUCAAUAUAGAAGGAAUAAAAAUUGAUAAAUAAAAAAUUUAAACUAUUUAAUAUUAGAAAAAAUUUUAAAGAAUAUACUUACCUCUUGUAGUUUGGCCUCAUUUUAUAGAGGAUUCAUUGAAAUUUCAGUUCUACUGUUGCUCUAAUUACUAAAUGUAUGAAAAAUAUAAAUUUUCUAUGGACUAAGACAACAGGUCAAAGUUUUAUCCUUAUUAAGAAUAAAGUUAUACUUUGCUCUUAUGUUAGCUCUUCUAAAUUUUACCAAAUUAUUUGAAGUAGAAUGGGAUGCUUCAAUUCUGGGAACAAGAUAUAUGUUAUCCCAAUAAAGUCAUUAAGUUACUUUUUAUAGGGAAAAAUUGGUUGAAGCAAGAAGGAAAUAGAAAACUUAUGAAUUAGAGUUUUAUGAUGUGAUUAGAGUAUUAUAGACUUGAGAGCAUUAUCUUAUUCAAUGAUAGUUCAUGAUAUAUAUUGAUCGUGAAGUAUUAAAGACUGUUAAUAGCUAAAUGGGUGUAAACAUAAUGCAUGUAAGGUGGGUGUUAUUUAAACAAAAAUUUACUUUUUUAUCAAGGAUAAAUGAGGCAAAAUAAAUUGAGUUGAUCAUACACUAAGUACAAAAUCAACACUUCUAGUAACCAUGCGUGCUGAAGUCACUGGUUUUAAAUAUCUAAAGGAUUUAUAUGCUGAAAAGGAAGAUUUUGCUCACAUAUAGAAUGAUUGUAGACAUAAUAAAUCAAAAAAGUGAUGUCACAUUGAAGAAAAUUUAUUUUUCAUAAUAAAGGCACGAAAUUUUUGUACAAAUUAUAUAAAAUGGUAUUAUUGGCCUCAAUUGAAGAAAUAAGUUGAAAUUUUUGUAUAGAGAUCUCGAAAUUUUUAUGUUAAUGAUAGACACUGUUAGAAAACAACUUUAUAUACUUCACUAUUAAUUUUCGUAAACCCAUUUGCUGAUAUUUCUAUCAAUUCCAUCUUAGGAUUACCAUACACUCAAAAGAGAUCGAUUUUCAAUUAAGGUUCAUUUAAUCAUAUGCAGGAAAAUAAAUGAUGUUGUUCAGAUUGAAGAUUUAUUUUUCAAAUAGAAAGUUUUUACUUCAGGUCCUAGAGUUUACUUCAAAUUGAGAUUUAAAUUUUCUCUCAUUUUUUAUGUACUAUUUGAAAUAAAUUUAAUUCAUACUUAAAACUCAACACUGAUUGUCAUUCAUGAAUUGAUAGUCAAAUAGAAGUAGUAAACAAGACACCUGAAAACUUGAUGUGUUGUGUUUUAGGAGAAAAAACAAAAUAGUGAAAUUUGGUCCUACUCAAGUUGAACUUUCUUAUAGCUCUAUGGUAAAUCACUGUACAUAUCAAUCUCCAUUGUUUUAUCAUUUACUAUAUUCCUCCAACAUUCCCUCUUGAUUUGGCAUAUUUAUCAAAAUUACCUAUAGCAAGCACUACAGCAAACAACAUGGUUGAAAAUAUUACAGCAUUACAUAAAAAUUUCAAGAAACAUAUUUGAAAAAAUUAUGUGGAUUAUAAGAAGAAAGUUGAUUAAAAGAGAAGAAAAUAUUUUUAAAUUGGGGGAUCUAAUUAUGGCAUAGUUGAGGAAAGAAAGAUGGACAUUAAGAAAUUACAACAAGCUCACUCUGAAAAACAUGGACCACUCAAAGUCCUUCAAAAAGUAAGUGAUAAUCCUCAUAUUCUUGACCUAUCAAAAAUGAUGGGUAUUUCUUCUACCUUCAAUAUUAUGGGUUUGUAUGACUAUUAUCCAGAAGUAAUUGAAAACUCGAGGAUAAACCUUUAAACUCAUAUUUUAAUUCACAUGAUUUUCUCAUAUUAUUAUAUUAAAUAUUAACACCUUCCACAAAAAUAUAUAUUAUAAUAAUAUUUUUCAAUUUUUUAUAUGAUUAAAUUAAUUAAUUAAUUAUAUUAAAUAUUAUUAUUCACAUAAAUGUUUAAUGAAAUUACAUCUGAACAUUUUAAAAUAUUACAUUGAAUCAAAUAUGAUUACUUUCACAUUUAAGCUCAUAUCAUAUUCUAAAAUAGAUAUAAUUAGAUCCUUUAAUUGAUCUUAUACUUAUUUGUGACAAUAAAACAAUUAUCCAUUCAAUGUUCUUAAAAAAACUAUAUAUCACUUUAAGAUAUUAAUUUCAUAUAUUUAUUUAUCUCUCAAUGAAGAAUUUUAUUUUGUGGUAAAUUAGUGGAAUGAUACAAUUUACCCUUUCCCCUUUUUGUGAAGAUUAUCCAAAACUCAGUGGGGAGCAUAAUUUAAUGUGCUAUUAUUCAUGUGAUAAUGUAAAUAAUUACAUACUUUAAAGAGCUAGCUUCAUAUUUAGUAAUGGGAAUUUCUAAAUGCCAAGAAAGAUAAGCCUUGUGAAAUCUAGCUUGAGACAAGUGUAUUGGAUAAGGACUAGGUUCAAAAAAUAAUUUGAAGACUAGGCGUAUGACUGAACCAUCUCAAAUAUAGCCAUGUAUUAACUUAGUCAAAGCACACAAAAGAGAAAAAUAAGCUUAUUUACAUCUUGAAAAAAAUUGAUGGUCCCAUCCCCCUCCUCCUCCUCUGAUGUAGCCCAAGACACAAGUUGAAGUUCUAACUUCGAAGUUGGGCCCAAUCAUCUUAAAUUUUGGCCAUGAAGUGAAAAGUAGUAAAAAGGGAACCCACAUAUGUCACUAGUGGGCUAGAGGUCUGAAAAGUAAUACUUACUUUCUACUUUAUGUCCUUUCACUUCUAAAAGGCACUUUAUGUCUCCUUCCUUCUAGAAGGGACUUUAAUGUGGUUCAGUCUAUACCCAAGAUAUGCUCAAGAUAUCAAACUGUUAGAGUCUGUACCUAAGAUUUGCUCAGUAUAUCUACUUGUCAGAGCUUGCUUUAUGUCACUUCAGAGUAUUUCCAAAGGAUCUGUUUAAGAUUUCAAUCUAUCAUAGUCUGCUUUAAGUCAUUUCAGUGUUAGUCAGAGUCUGUCCUCAGGAUUUGUCACCCCACCUCCUUUUUAGGCCUAUAUAAAGGCCCCUAUUGUAACCUGAGGGACUUACCUUUUGAGUUGAAUCAAUUUUCUCCCCUGUGAGAACCUUUCCUUUGCUUGUGGAUUCAGGCACCCCUUUAUGGACUCAAGGGUUGGAGACUCCGAAUCUGUGGAUUCAGAGGUUGGUUUCUUCUCCAAGAUUAAAGCUUUGUGGAUUCAAGCCCAAAUCUUGUUUAUCUUCUGCGUCACUGCUGCGUCAUCCUCCUCCUCCUCCUACUUCUUCUUCUGCUUCUUCAAUGAUGCCGAAGGUGGUGAGAAUCGCCACAGCCCAUGAUGGCAGCGGGCAGCCGGCCGACCCUCUUCACACCCUCCUCGAAAACAAUUCCCAUGCCCAUGAAGAAGUGUGACUCGAUGUGGCAGUGGAAGGCCCACACGCCGGGGUUGUCAGCCACGAAUCUGAUCACCGUCCAGCCAUAGGGGUGCACGGCCACAGUGUUCUUCAUGAUGGGGUCCACUAGGUUGUACCUCAGGGGGUCAUUGACCGGAUCGAAGACCCCCCGCCCAUAGCCGAGGACCCAGAAGUCAUGGCCAUGGAGGUGCCAAGGAUGGGUCUCGCUGUUGUUGGGGACCAUGGUGUUAGCGUUCUGGAGGAUAAUGUCCACUGUGGAGUUGAACUUCAGCCGAUACACGGCGUCGCUGUAGGUGGCGUUGGGGUUCGCGGCCUGCUUGAAGAUGUCGUAGUUGGCGCGGUCGUAGGUCUCUGGCGGCACCGACUGGCUGAAAGUGUGGUGCAGCUUGUGCUUGAGGGCGAUCAGGUAAGGGGUGUGGGGGAGGGUGAAGGAGAUGUUGUUA
RNAcentral lists this long non-coding RNA (30362 nucleotides) under Spirodela polyrhiza (greater duckweed). Its description in RNAcentral is "long non-coding RNA (SPOL_LNC000842)". Lineage: Eukaryota; Viridiplantae; Streptophyta; Magnoliopsida; Alismatales; Araceae. The record is from RNAcentral.